Molecule: ribosomal RNA, 250 nt
Filed under: uncultured Chroococcidiopsis sp.
Lineage: Bacteria; Bacillati; Cyanobacteriota; Cyanophyceae; Chroococcidiopsidales; Chroococcidiopsidaceae
Description: partial 16S ribosomal RNA
Rfam family: Bacterial small subunit ribosomal RNA
Source: RNAcentral
CUAGCCGUAAACGAUGGAUACUAGGCGUUGUGAGUAUCGACCCUCACAGUGUCGUAGCUAACGCGUUAAGUAUCCCGCCUGGGGAGUACGCACGCAAGCGUGAAACUCAAAGGAAUUGACGGGGGCCCGCACAAGCGGUGGAGUAUGUGGUUUAAUUCGAUGCAACGCGAAGAACCUUACCAGGACUUGACAUGUCGCGAAUCUCAGGGAAACUUGAGAGUGCCUUCGGGAGCGCGAACACAGGUGGUGC